GGAAUAUAAGAACCUGUCUUUUAACUUUUAACUAAAAAAGCUAAGAACCGGUUCUUAAAUAAGAGUUUUAAGAGCUGGUUCUUAACUUUUUUUAGUUAAAAGUUAAGAGACGGGUUCUUAUGUUCC
Molecule: non-coding RNA, 126 nt
Organism: Brassica napus (rape)
Lineage: Eukaryota; Viridiplantae; Streptophyta; Magnoliopsida; Brassicales; Brassicaceae
Source: Rfam